GACGAACGCUGGCGGCGUGCUUAACACAUGCAAGUCGAACGGAAAGGCCCUGCUUUUGUGGGGUGCUCGAGUGGCGAACGGGUGAGUAACACGUGAGUAACCUGCCCUUGACUUUGGGAUAACUUCAGGAAACUGGGGCUAAUACCGGAUAGGAGCUCCUGCUGCAUGGUGGGGGUUGGAAAGUUUCGGCGGUUGGGGAUGGACUCGCGGCUUAUCAGCUUGUUGGUGGAGUAGUGGCUUACCAAGGCUUUGACGGGUAGCCGGCCUGAGAGGGUGACCGGCCACAUUGGGACUGAGAUACGGCCCAGACUCCUACGGGAGGCAGCAGUGGGGAAUAUUGCACAAUGGGCGGAAGCCUGAUGCAGCAACGCCGCGUGCGGGAUGACGGCCUUCGGGUUGUAAACCGCUUUCGCCUGUGACGAAGCGAGAGUGACGGUAAUGGGUAAAGAAGCACCGGCUAACUACGUG
RNAcentral lists this ribosomal RNA (468 nucleotides) under uncultured bacterium. RNAcentral's name for it is "partial 16S ribosomal RNA". It matches the Rfam family "Bacterial small subunit ribosomal RNA", at positions 28 to 507 of the family's 1533-position model. The record is from RNAcentral.